Orcinus orca (killer whale) is the source of this 191-nucleotide long non-coding RNA. RefSeq lists it as uncharacterized. Lineage: Eukaryota; Metazoa; Chordata; Mammalia; Artiodactyla; Delphinidae. The record is from RefSeq and is a predicted model, not a curated record. The transcript has 2 exons.
CCAGGAGGUCUUCAGCAGGACCCUGACCUUUUGUGCUGGAUGGCAGUGUCUGCCAGGGGACAGGACAGUGCAGGAGAAGCCCACUCAUGCCCACUGAGCCUGCGUGUACCUUGGGCUGUCAUUCUAUAGGCCACAGCAGUGAGAGGCCUGCGUACAGCAAAAAUAAAUAAAUAAAAUAAAUAAAUAAAAAA